RNAcentral lists this long non-coding RNA (339 nucleotides) under Homo sapiens (human). Its description in RNAcentral is "non-protein coding lnc-NKD2-3:5". The record is from RNAcentral. Lineage: Eukaryota; Metazoa; Chordata; Mammalia; Primates; Hominidae.
GAGUUUGUGAAUGAGUGGGGGAGUUAGUGUGUGAAUGAGUGGGUGAGUUAGUGUGUGAAUGGGUGUGUGAAUGAGUGGGCUAGUGUGUGAAUGAGUGGGUGUGUGAACGAGUGGGUGAGUUAGUGUGUGAAUGAAUGGGUGAGUUUGUGAAUGAGUGGGUGUGUGAACGAGUGGGUGAGUUAGUGUGUGAAUGAAUGGGUUAGUGUGUGAGUGGGUGGGUUAGUGUGUGAAUGGGUGGGUUAGUGUGUGAAUGGAUGAGUUAGUGUGUGAAUGAGUGGGUUAGUGUGUGAAUGAGUCGGUGGGUUAGUGUGUGAAUGAGUGGGUUAGUGUGUGAGAGUG